GUGCAUGCUUACACACCAAAUUUAAGAACAACAGUGCUUUUAUACUUGAUUUAUGCUCCUUCUGAUGCUUUUAGGUUUUGAUUUUAUACUUGUAAGUUUGGUUAGUUAGAUGUAUGAAAGAGAUAAUGGUAUGUUAUGUGAACAUCAAUGCUGAAAUUUUGUUUGUGGCCUACAACCUCACUGUUGGUUGUUGGUUCUCUAUACAACCCAUAAGCAAUGCUUAGGCUUAGGUCAAGGAUAUCGGGAUGAAAGAUGUGAAAGUAAAAAAGAAAAAAAGAAAGCAAAAGGGUUCAACUUGAUUCGUGUCUGAUAGUUAAAGUGUAGAAAUAAGUUGAGAGACUGAAUUUGGACUCAAUCUAGCAAGA
RNAcentral lists this unclassified non-coding RNA (365 nucleotides) under Hevea brasiliensis (rubber tree). The record is from RNAcentral. Lineage: Eukaryota; Viridiplantae; Streptophyta; Magnoliopsida; Malpighiales; Euphorbiaceae.